CAAUAGCGUAUAUUAAAGUUGUUGCAGUUACAAAGCUCGUAGUUGGAUUUCUGGUCGGAAGCUCCUGUCCUCUGAUGAGCGUACAAGUGCGUCCUACCAUCCUUCUGUUAACCUUUAAGGCUUUCGCGGCUUUCUAGGGGCUCAGAUAUUUUACCUUGAGAAAAUUAGAGUGUUUCAGGCAGGCUAGCGCCGGAAUACAUUAGCAUGGAAUAAUGGAAUAGGACUUUUGCCUCUUCUGUUGGUCAUGAGGCUCGAGUAAUGAUUAAUAGGGAUAGUUGGGGGCAUUAGUACUUAACUGUCAGAGGUGAAAUUCUCGGAUUUGUUAAAGACUAACUUAUGCGAAAGCAUUUGCCAAGGAUGUUUUCAUUAA
RNAcentral lists this ribosomal RNA (370 nucleotides) under uncultured eukaryote. Its description in RNAcentral is "partial 18S ribosomal RNA". It matches the Rfam family "Eukaryotic small subunit ribosomal RNA", at positions 592 to 976 of the family's 1831-position model. The record is from RNAcentral.